Molecule: RNA transcript, 2101 nt
Organism: Populus nigra (black poplar)
Lineage: Eukaryota; Viridiplantae; Streptophyta; Magnoliopsida; Malpighiales; Salicaceae
Gene name: (R)-mandelonitrile lyase-like
Exons: 4
Source: RefSeq, a predicted model, not a curated record
UAUACAUCCAAGAUGCAGAGAAAAAAAGAAGUUGGUCAGCACAAUCAAGGGCUAAAUCAUGCCUGCUGCAUUCACCCGGACCAAAGUAACAAUGAUGCCAAACUCGGUCAUUAAACAGCCUAUAUUGGAUAGUUGAAAACAUUUUCUCAGCUUAAGAAGUCCCUAUGGAGUGGGAAAUCAAAAUACCAGAGAUGGAGCUUCUAUCAAUUAUUCAUGGCCAUGGGCUUCUAGCAGCUUUUAUUUUUCUACUGGUCAACUUGUCUCCGUCUUCUUCUUUGCCUCAAGGAUACGGGCUCCCUUACAUGACUUCAAACGUCAAAGAGGUAUUAGGAAACUCCUUUGAUUAUAUAAUUGUGGGGGGAGGCACCGCCGGUUGCCCCCUAGCUGCAACUCUGUCAGAAAAAUUUUCUGUGCUUCUGAUAGAACGAGGAGGCUCACCGUAUGAAAAUCCUAUGUUGCUGGAUAAGAAGUACUUUGGCUUCCCAUUUCUCCAAACUGACGAAUUUUCAUCUGUGGCUCAAAGAUUUAUCUCCAGAGAUGGAGUUCCAAACCUAAGAGGACGAAUCCUUGGAGGAACAUCAACCAUAAAUGCUGGUUUCUAUAGCAGAGCCAGUGCUGACUUUAUUAAAAGAGUUGGGUGGGAUGAAAAGCUGGUGAAGGAGGCCUAUGAAUGGGCGGAGUCUAAAGUUGUUUUUAAACCUCUGUUAACCAAGUGGAAUUCUGCUGUUAAGUCUGGCCUUCUUGAAGCAGGAAUUCUACCUUAUAAUGGUUUCAGCUGGGAUCAUAUUGCGGGAACAAAAAUCGGUGGAACUGUGUUUGAUGCAAACAGAAAAAGGCACAUCUCAGCUGAUCUUCUAGAAAGAGGGAACUCAAGUAAUAUCGUAGUUCUUCUGAAUGCUACUGUGAAGAAUAUCGUCUUCCGAAGUGAUGAUAAAGGAAAAAAGAGCAUAGUUCGUGGUAUCAGGUUCAUUAAGAGCAACGGCAGCAUAAAUCAAACUUAUGAAUCUUACCUUACCCAACCAGAGAAUUCGAGUCCACAGGGUGAUGUUAUUUUGUCAGCAGGAGCGAUAGGCAGUCCCCAAAUUCUAUUGCUAAGCGGCAUCGGACCAAAAGGACAUCUUGGGAACUUCAGCAUCCCACUUUUGUUGGACUUGAAAGGCGUUGGGCAAGAUAUGCAAGACAAUCCUGGAAUCACCUUGAUCCUAAGGGCCAAACCUGAAUAUCGGCUACCAGAAUCGCCUCAAGUUGUUGGCAUAGCAAAAGACUUCAAAUUCGUUGUUGAGGGAUUUGUGCUACCAGUAAGCAUGAAUGCAACGACACUUAUGCGAAUUUCAAUUAAGUUGGCAUUUCCAGAAUCCAAAGGGAAGCUCGAAUUGAACAACACAGACCCUAGGCAGAACCCUGUGGUGCUGUUCAACUAUCUAGCAGAGGAAAAAGACUUGAGAGAAUGUGUCCAGAUGGUUCAACUGGUUAAGAAAGUAGCAAGGUCCAGGUCCAUUGCUCGGUUCCUGGGGGCCAAACCCCUAAUUAAUGUGACAUCCAAUCCCAAUGAGCUAAGAAACUUCUGCAGGAAGAACGUGAGGACUUAUUAUCACUUUCACGGUGGUUGUUCUAUAGGAUCAGUUAUCGAUAAUGAUUACAAAGUAAUUGGAGUGAAGGGAUUGAGAGUAAUAGAUGGCUCAACUCUCUCCGAAUCGCCAGGAACAAACCCCAUGGCCACGCUUUUAAUGCUAGGGAGGUACCAAGGGAUCAAGAUUCUCACGGAAAGGGAGGGUGCUUCUGCAUUUGGUAACCAACAACACCCGUAAUUAACGAACUCCCAACUUCAGCUAUAUGUAUCGUUUCUGGGAAGUUCAGUCGAAGGAAAUAAUUCACCGCUUUAUGGGCACGCCACUCACAAAAUGGAUUUUCCUAUUGAAAUGCCUUUGUUGUCUGGAUACUUUAACUAAUAAUUCUACACCUCCUUUGGCAAAAGGUGAGAACGCUAUUAGAGCCCUUUAAAUUUAAACUUGGUGCUGCUUAUUUUCUGGUACAAUAUUCAUGUAGAUUGUUCGAUAACUAACGAAUUUGUUUGUGUUGAAAAUUGAUGUCGGAUUUUUAA